This 1828-nucleotide long non-coding RNA is filed under the name Homo sapiens (human). RNAcentral describes it as "HSALNT0307497". Lineage: Eukaryota; Metazoa; Chordata; Mammalia; Primates; Hominidae. The record is from RNAcentral.
UAAUGGACACAACAACUAGGCACAAGACCAAGAAGGCAAUAGGACUUGUACACUAUAAACCAAUUAGACCUAACAGAAUAGAACACUCCACCCAACAACAGAAGAAUGUACAUUUAUUUCAAGUGCUCACAGAACAUUCUCCAGGACAGACUACAUGCUAGCGAGGUCAUAAAAUAAACUUGAACAAAUUUUCAAAGACUGAAAUAAUACAAAGUAUGUUCUCAAGCCACAAUGGAAUGAAAUAAGAAACUGAUAAGAAAGAAAUUGGAAAGCUAACUAAUAUGUGAAAAUUAAACAAUACACUACUAAAUAAUCGAGUCAAAGAAGAAAUCAACAGGGAAAUUGGAAAACAGUUUGAGAAGAAUGGAAAGGAAGACACAAUAUACCAAAACUUAUCAGAUAAAGUAAAGCAAUACCUAGAGAGAAAUUGUGAUGACUAUGGAAAACUUUAAUAACCACUUGAUCAAACUCAAAACUCACAAGAUUGAAAUUCAUUAAAGAAGGAAAACAAAGCCACACAGGACCUAGAUCUUCAGCAUACAAGGAAACAAAAAACACUGCAACUUUCAAAUUACCUCUAAGUAGAGAUAAAAAGAAAAAAUUCCAACAGAUUUCCUGUAGCCUUCCAGCUGCUAUAAGCUUAUAAGUAUGAAAAGUAAAUAAAAGGAGUCUUAUUAAAAGACUACACACAAAAAGUAGAGAGUAACAGAGGAACUAGAGGAAGUACAGCCAAAAUUACUCCCAGAAAACAAAAGUGCAAUAAUAAUGCCAAAAUAUUAUACAGGACUUGGUAGUCCAUAGCCCUGGCUAUGGGAAGAAGUUUGAAAAUGGAAGGAACCAGAAAUGGCUGCCUUGGAGAAGCAAGAUGUGUACACGUGUACACACGUAAAAGUAUGUGGACUCCUUGCAGACAAGCCAGUAAAGAGAAAGAAUAAAAUAAUAAAGAGAAAUUAAAGACCCUAUAGAAAUGAAAGAGAAACAAGACAUGCCAAUUCUUCCUUCACUAAAAACACCACCAUUUAUAAACAAAUAGCAUAGCAGAGGGUAGAAGUGUCAGGAAAGAACACUCUCAAAAUAGGAGCCCUUUCCAAGUAACAAAUAGGACUAGAAAAAGGCAUAUCAGAUCUGUAAACAAAACAACUACAAAAGUCAGAAAACGCCAAUAAAAACAUUACUAUUGGUGAAAAGUCUCCACCCUAAAACCAGCCACGAUCCUGAAGAAAGCUGUAACACAACAUGAAUUAAAUAUCAUCAAUCAAGCAACAGGGAUAUGAAAAAAUACCUUGAAUCAGAAAUACAAACAAACAAAAACCAACAACAAGAAAUGAAACAAGAGCUGACUAACCUGAGGAAAGAAACAGAACCAAAAAAAGGCACGUAAAAAGUAAAGGCUAUGUUAUAAACUACCCAAAGGAGAAUACAAAAUAGAUUCAAAUUAAAACUUAAUACAGGGCAUUGAAAAAAAAAACCAGAAAAAUAAUCAAGAGAAUGAAAAUUAAGAAGUCAGAGAAAAAGGGUCAGAGAAAAAGUGACUGAAAUGGAAAACUAGCAAAGAAAGUCAAACAUACGUAUAAUCAAUGUCCCUGAGGAUGAAAACUGAAACAAUGAAAAAAAAAACCCUAAUAUUUAACACUACUAUCCAAAAAAAAACUUCACAGAAAUAAAAGGAGACCUGAAUCUACAAAUAGAAAGGGUCCACUGGGUGCUGAAGCAAAAUAACCCAGGACUAUCAACUCUAAGUUGCAAAAGUAUUAGACUUUAGCAAUAAAGAAAAAAAAUCCUCAAGGCCUCCAGGCAAAAAGAGAAAAUUAGCCUACUAAGAAAAUUA